GUGUGUGGAUGGUGUUCAGCACCAGGGACAGGUAUGUUUACCUGUGUGUAGAUGGUGUUUAGCAACAGGGACAGGUAUAAUUUACU
This 86-nucleotide microRNA precursor is filed under the name Branchiostoma floridae (Florida lancelet). RNAcentral's name for it is "mir-2060 microRNA precursor family". It matches the Rfam family "mir-2060 microRNA precursor family". Lineage: Eukaryota; Metazoa; Chordata; Leptocardii; Amphioxiformes; Branchiostomatidae. The record is from Rfam by way of RNAcentral.